Molecule: ribosomal RNA, 429 nt
Filed under: Alternaria alternata
Lineage: Eukaryota; Fungi; Ascomycota; Dothideomycetes; Pleosporales; Pleosporaceae
Description: eukaryotic LSU rRNA
Rfam family: 5.8S ribosomal RNA (bases 71-224)
Source: RNAcentral
UCGCCCACAAAUAGGACAAACAUAAACCUUUUGUAAUUGCAAUCAGCGUCAGUAACAAAUUAAUAAUUACAACUUUCAACAACGGAUCUCUUGGUUCUGGCAUCGAUGAAGAACGCAGCGAAAUGCGAUAAGUAGUGUGAAUUGCAGAAUUCAGUGAAUCAUCGAAUCUUUGAACGCACAUUGCGCCCUUUGGUAUUCCAAAGGGCAUGCCUGUUCGAGCGUCAUUUGUACCCUCAAGCUUUGCUUGGUGUUGGGCGUCUUGUCUCUAGCUUUGCUGGAGACUCGCCUUAAAGUAAUUGGCAGCCGGCCUACUGGUUUCGGAGCGCAGCACAAGUCGCACUCUCUAUCAGCAAAGGUCUAGCAUCCAUUAAGCCUUUUUUUCAACUUUUGACCUCGGAUCAGGUAGGGAUACCCGCUGAACUUAAGCAU